AAUGACCACCAGAGGACUGUCCGCCCCUGGGACACCGCUGCACUGCUCCGCCAAACCUGAAAGGUAGCCGCAGGGCAGCAGCUCAGGUGUGUGGGCGGCGCUGGGAAUACUGGGCCGGUGGAUCUCUCCAAUGUUGUAUCCCUCCACGCUGUCUGAGCUCAGGCCCAGCUGGCUCACAGGGUCCACAUGGGUGAUGUACUCCUGUCAGAUACAAAGGCUCGGCAUUUAAAAUCUCCCUGUUUAUCUUUACCUUGAAAAGGCGUCGGACAACUCCGUCCAGGACGUCCCACUUUGUUUUACCACUCACACCGAUGCAACCAAUCAGAAAAUGACGAGACUGGCCCUCCUGUGGUGGAAAAACACGACUGGUUUUAGAUAUCAAAAAGCCUACAGGCUGACGACCAUCUUCACGCGUCGCCCCUCCUUCCUCAUCCCUCCCUCUCCGCCUGUGUCAUCCAACAGCAUGUCUGACAGGAAGGAAGAGCAAAGUGAGACAAGGUUUCCACAUUUCCCAUGACCUUGAAAGCAAGCUGCAGAAAGCCGACAAUAAGCAGUUACUUAAGCGCAAGCUGGUGGACUCACUGGUGGUGAGGUUGAGGCUGUGCUGGGAGAGCCCCGGUACAGUUCCCACAGCCU
This is a long non-coding RNA of Micropterus salmoides (largemouth bass), 636 nucleotides long. RefSeq lists it as uncharacterized. The transcript has 6 exons. The record is from RefSeq and is a predicted model, not a curated record. NCBI's taxonomy places the organism in Eukaryota, Metazoa, Chordata, Actinopteri, Centrarchiformes, Centrarchidae.